AUCAGGUGGGACUACCCGCUGAACUUAAGCAUAUCAAUAAGC
RNAcentral lists this ribosomal RNA (42 nucleotides) under Clavulina rugosa. RNAcentral describes it as "partial 25S ribosomal RNA". The record is from RNAcentral. Lineage: Eukaryota; Fungi; Basidiomycota; Agaricomycetes; Cantharellales; Hydnaceae.